CAUGGAUUGAUGUAUGAGACU
This 21-nucleotide small RNA is filed under the name Arabidopsis thaliana (thale cress). RNAcentral describes it as "ATSL249910". The record is from RNAcentral. Lineage: Eukaryota; Viridiplantae; Streptophyta; Magnoliopsida; Brassicales; Brassicaceae.